This 73-nucleotide transfer RNA is filed under the name Tannerella sp. RNAcentral describes it as "tRNA-Gly". It matches the Rfam family "tRNA". Rfam says of the family: Transfer RNA (tRNA) molecules are approximately 80 nucleotides in length. Their secondary structure includes four short double-helical elements and three loops (D, anti-codon, and T loops). Further hydrogen bonds mediate the characteristic L-shaped molecular structure. tRNAs have two regions of fundamental functional importance: the anti-codon, which is responsible for specific mRNA codon recognition, and the 3' end, to which the tRNAs corresponding amino acid is attached (by aminoacyl-tRNA synthetases). tRNAs cope with the degeneracy of the genetic code in two manners: having more than one tRNA (with a specific anti-codon) for a particular amino acid; and 'wobble' base-pairing, i.e. permitting non-standard base-pairing at the 3rd anti-codon position. The record is from RNAcentral. Lineage: Bacteria; Pseudomonadati; Bacteroidota; Bacteroidia; Bacteroidales; Tannerellaceae.
GCGGCAAUAACUCAGUCGGUAGAGCGUCAGCUUCCCAAGCUGAAAGUCGCGGGUUCGAGUCCCGUUUGCCGCU